GUCGACGUACUUCAUAGGAUCAUUUCUAUAGUAAUCGUCACUCUUUGACUCUUCAAAAGAGCCACUGAAUCCAACUUGGUUGAUGAGUGACAUAACCUUCGUACCCAAGAGUGAGAAAUUUGAAUUUUUUAAUAGCUUGGUCCGUAAUCCUUAGCGAUUCGGCCAUCUAAGAAGAAGUUUAUGCUUUGCCAAUUGCAUGUUGAAUUUAUUCGACGACUAAUUGGCGCGAUGAUCUUGGCCCAUUCUGUGUACUUUUAGCUAAGGGAUAGAAUUUUUGGGCGGGUAUGAAUGGCAGUCUGACAAGU
This 305-nucleotide small nucleolar RNA is filed under the name Kazachstania africana CBS 2517. RNAcentral describes it as "Fungal small nucleolar RNA U3". It matches the Rfam family "Fungal small nucleolar RNA U3". From Rfam's summary of the family: Small nucleolar RNAs (snoRNAs) are involved in the processing and modification of rRNA in the nucleolus. There are two main classes of snoRNAs: the box C/D class, and the box H/ACA class. The record is from Rfam by way of RNAcentral. Lineage: Eukaryota; Fungi; Ascomycota; Saccharomycetes; Saccharomycetales; Saccharomycetaceae.